UAGCCUUGACAUUGAAGAAACACACUAGAGAUAGAGUGGUGCCCUUCGGGGAAUCUGAAAACAGGUGCUGCACGGCUGUCGUCAGCUCGUGUCGUGAGAUGUUGGGUUAAGUCCCGCAACGAGCGCAACCCUCGUCCUUAGUUGCCAGCAGGUUAAGCUGGGCACUCUAAGGAGACUGCCUUCGUAAGGAGGAGGAAGGUGAGGACGACGUCAAGUCAUCAUGGCCCUUAUGGCUAGGGCUACACACGUGCUACAAUGGGCGGUACAAAGGGUAGCGAAGCUGCGAAGUGGAGCCAAUCCCAGAAAGCCGUUCUCAGUUCGGAUCGGAGUCUGCAACUCGACUCCGUGAAGGUGGAAUCGCUAGUAACCGUGGAUCAGCAUGCCACGGUGAAUACGUUCCCGGGCCU
This 407-nucleotide ribosomal RNA is filed under the name uncultured bacterium. RNAcentral's name for it is "bacterial SSU rRNA". It matches the Rfam family "Bacterial small subunit ribosomal RNA", at positions 976 to 1381 of the family's 1533-position model. The record is from RNAcentral.